RNAcentral lists this ribosomal RNA (478 nucleotides) under uncultured bacterium. RNAcentral describes it as "partial 16S ribosomal RNA". It matches the Rfam family "Bacterial small subunit ribosomal RNA", at positions 28 to 523 of the family's 1533-position model. The record is from RNAcentral.
GACGAACGCUGGCGGCGUGCUUAACACAUGCAAGUCGAACGGUAAGGCCCUUCGGGGUACACGAGUGGCGAACGGGUGAGUAACACGUGGGUGAUCUGCCCUGCACUUCGGGAUAAGCCUGGGAAACUGGGUCUAAUACCGUAUAGGACUCCGGACCGCAUGGUCUGGGGGGGCAAGCUUUCGUGGAGUGGGAUGGGCCCGCGGCCUAUCAGCUUGUUGGUGGGGUGAUGGCCUACCAAGGCGACGACGGGUAGCCGGCCUGAGAGGGUGACCGGCCACACUGGGACUGAGAUACGGCCCAGGCUCCUACGGGAGGCAGCAGUGGGGAAUAUUGCACAAUGGGCGCAAGCCUGAUGCAGCGACGCCGCGUGAGGGAUGACGGCCUUCGGGUUGUAAACCUCUUUCAGCAUCGACGAAGCGAAAGUGACGGUAGGUGCAGAAGAAGGACCGGCCAACUACGUGCCAGCAGCCGCAGUAA